AGUGAACGCUGGCGGUAGGCCUAACACAUGCAAGUCGAACGGCAGCACAGUAAGAGCUUGCUCUUACGGGUGGCGAGUGGCGGACGGGUGAGGAAUACAUCGGAAUCUACUUUUUCGUGGGGGAUAACGUAGGGAAACUUACGCUAAUACCGCAUACGACCUACGGGUGAAAGCAGGGGAUCUUCGGACCUUGCGCGAUUGAAUGAGCCGAUGUCGGAUUAGCUAGUUGGCGGGGUAAAGGCCCACCAAGGCGACGAUCCGUGGCUGGUCUGAGAGGAUGGUCAGCCACACUGGAACUGAGACACGGUCCAGACUCCUACGGGAGGCAGCAGUGGGGAAUAUUGGACAAUGGGCGCAAGCCUGAUCCAGCCAUACCGCGUGGGUGAAGAAGGCCUUCGGGUUGUAAAGCCCUCUUGUUGGGAAAGAAAAGCAGCAGGUUAAUACCCCGCUGUUCUGACGGUACCCAAAGAAUAAGCACCGGCUAACUUCGUG
RNAcentral lists this ribosomal RNA (492 nucleotides) under uncultured bacterium. Its description in RNAcentral is "partial 16S ribosomal RNA". It matches the Rfam family "Bacterial small subunit ribosomal RNA", at positions 29 to 507 of the family's 1533-position model. The record is from RNAcentral.